AGCCUGAGUUAACUCUUUGUUUCCAUUCAUCUCUGCAGUGUGCCUUCCAGAACUACAGCUCUGCUCUGCUCUGCUCCAGACUUACCAAGGUCAUCAUCCAGGAAAAAUCACCAGAAAGAGGCCUGGGAGCCAGAGAGUUGGGCCCCAUGACUGGCAGAUGCUCACCACAUCGGCUGCUGGGACAGAGGCCAGCAGAGUGAAAAGGCAUGUGGAAUCCCAAUAGGCAAAAAGCAAUUUCCUGCACUGAGGCUUGGCUAAGAGACUGCAGUUUUACACCUCCCUGCAUAUUCAAAGGCUGGGGGGGCGGGGUUAAAGGCAAGACUUGAGCCUAAUGCUUCAUUUGCAGAGGCCCAGCAGCCAGAAGCCCUCAUACCCUGCCCAGGCUAGAAGUACUGCUUCUCCUCCCUAAGUGUCCAGGACCCCGCUGUGCUCCUGGAGGCAUAGGGACAAGGCCCCAACUCACUGUCUCCCAUGAGUCUCAGGGUCUCACACUAGGUGGCACAAUUUAGCUGUAGGUCUUCUUAAGCAAAAUUCUUCACACAUUUUUCCCCACUAAAGGGCUUGCCUAAAUCCCUGUUUCCAUUUAUCUCAGAAAGGGUGGGGAGAUGGGAAAAAGGAGAGAGACCUGCAGGAUCCUUUGUUGUGUCUUUGGCAUCAGAGGUAUGAGCUCCCCACUCUAUCCACCACUUCCUGGAGACCAUGUUUGAGACAUUGGCUUCUCCAUGAUGAGUCCACUUAGAAGAAAUUUCUGCUAAUGUGGGUCGACUAGAAGGACAUGAACUCCAGAGCUGGGUCCCCUCACUGCUUUGCCAUCCCAUGGCUUAACCCUUUCUAGUUUUGGUCAUCUUAGCAGAAAAAUGGAGAUAAAAUUCACAGAGCUGCCAAGAGAAUGGUUUUAGACCAUCAGACGUACACUAAGAAUGACAGAGAUUAAUAGUCUGGGAUCCACCCAGAGCCUUCAAGAAAUCUCCAGGUACACUUCAAAAGAAUGGCCGACUUGGAAAAGAAAUAAAAUUACAUCUUUACUUUCAUAAAAAUACCCAGCAACUCAUUUCAGGGUAAUGUUUGGAGCCAACCUUGAACCAUACGUGCUUCCAAAAAUGGCACUUACUUUUCAAUUUCAUCCUUAUAGGUGAAUGUUGUGGGUCCAACAUUUCAUGGGAACUUAAUAUGUUGAUUGAACUCUAAGCAUGUACCAUGUACCAUCUGCCUUGUACUACAGCUGCCCCUGUCCUCAUUCACAGUUUGCUUUCCAAGAUUUCAGUUGAUCUCAGUCCAAAAAUGUUACAUGGAAAAUUUCAAAAAUAAGCAAUUCAUAAGUUUUAAAUUGCAUGCCAUUCCAAUUAGCUUGAUGAAAUCUCAUGCGGUCCUUCUUCAACUCACCUGGAACAUGACUUGUCCCAUUGUUUAGUGCAUUCACUCUGUACCCAUCCGUUAGUCGUUUAGCCAUCUCAGUUAUCAGAUCUGCUGUUGUGGUAUUAUAGUGUUUCUGUUCCAGUAAUCCCUAUUUCACUUAAAGGGCAAGAGUAGUGAUGCACAGGAGGCACCAAGGCAUAAAAAUGUGAUGCUAUAUGGCAAAGCUGCAGGACGUAUAGGGGAAAAAAAACAUAUACAGGGUUCCAUACUAUCUGCAGUUUCAGGCAUUCACUAUAACCUUGGAUUGCAUCCUCCACAGAUAGGGCAGGACUAUUGUAACUAUAUUUAUCUUAUUUAAUCUUACCCCUUCAAAUAGUAAAUGUUACAUCAUUCUACAAAUAAGGACACUGAACUCAGAGAGGUUGCAACUUGCUCCCAGUCUUUUUCAUAGAAGGAAGAGGAAUGAAGCUUCUUUGGUUCUCUUUUCUCUGGGAUGGUCUGUAUGAGAGGUUGCCUUUAAAGAUGGC
This 1883-nucleotide long non-coding RNA is filed under the name Marmota monax (woodchuck). Lineage: Eukaryota; Metazoa; Chordata; Mammalia; Rodentia; Sciuridae. The record is from RNAcentral.